GGUGAGUAACACGUGGGUAACCUGCCUGUAAGACUGGGAUAACUCCGGGAAACCGGGGCUAAUACCGGAUGCUUGAUUGAACCGCAUGGUUCAAUUAUAAAAGGUGGCUUUAAGCUACCACUUACAGAUGGACCCGCGGCGCAUUAGCUAGUUGGUGAGGUAACGGCUCACCAAGGCRACGAUGCGUAGCCGACCUGAGAGGGUGAUCGGCCACACUGGGACUGAGACACGGCCCAGACUCCUACGGGAGGCAGCAGUAGGGAAUCUUCCGCAAUGGACGAAAGUCUGACGGAGCAACGCCGCGUGAGUGAUGAAGGUUUUCGGAUCGUAAAACUCUGUUGUUAGGGAAGAACAAGUACCGUUCGAAUAGGGCGGUACCUUGACGGUACCUAACCAGAAAGCCACGGCUAACUACGUGCCAGCAGCCGCGGUAAUACGUAGGUGGCAAGCGUUGUCCGGAAUUAUUGGGCGUAAAGCGCGCGCAGGCGGUUUCUUAAGUCUGAUGUGAAAGCCCCCGGCUCAACCGGGGAGGGUCAUUGGAAACUGGGGAACUUGAGUGCAGAAGAGGAGAGUGGAAUUCCACGUGUAGCGGUGAAAUGCGUAGAGAUGUGGAGGAACACCAGUGGCGAAGGCGACUCUCUGGUCUGUAACUGACGCUGAGGCGCGAAAGCGUGGGGAGCGAACAGGAUUAGAUACCCUGGU
RNAcentral lists this ribosomal RNA (702 nucleotides) under Bacillus sp. AS23. Its description in RNAcentral is "bacterial SSU rRNA". It matches the Rfam family "Bacterial small subunit ribosomal RNA", at positions 105 to 791 of the family's 1533-position model. The record is from RNAcentral. Lineage: Bacteria; Bacillati; Bacillota; Bacilli; Caryophanales; Bacillaceae.